This 459-nucleotide ribosomal RNA is filed under the name uncultured bacterium. Its description in RNAcentral is "partial 16S ribosomal RNA". It matches the Rfam family "Bacterial small subunit ribosomal RNA", at positions 338 to 795 of the family's 1533-position model. The record is from RNAcentral.
CCUACGGGAGGCAGCAGUGAGGAAUAUUGGUCAAUGGGCGCGAGCCUGAACCAGCCAAGUCGCGUGAGGGAAGACGGUCCUAUGGAUUGUAAACCUCUUUUGUCGGAGAGCAAAAGACGCCACGCGUGGCGUUCCGAGAGUAACCGAAGAAAAAGCAUCGGCUAACUCCGUGCCAGAAGCAGCGGUAAUACGGAGGAUGCGAGCGUUAUCCGGAUUUAUUGGGUUUAAAGGGUGCGCAGGCGUAAGAUCAAGUCAGAGGUAAAAUUAAGAGGCUCAACCUCUUCGAGCCGUUGAAACUGGUUUUCUUGAGUGUGCGAGAAGUAUGCGGAAUGCGUGGUGUAGCGGUGAAAUGCAUAGAUAUCACGCAGAACUCCGAUUGCGAAGGCAGCAUACCGGCGCCCGACUGACGCUGAGGCACGAAAGCGUGGGGAUCGAACAGGAUUAGAUACCCUUGUAGUC